RNAcentral lists this ribosomal RNA (253 nucleotides) under uncultured bacterium. RNAcentral describes it as "partial 16S ribosomal RNA". It matches the Rfam family "Bacterial small subunit ribosomal RNA", at positions 524 to 776 of the family's 1533-position model. The record is from RNAcentral.
UACAGAGGUCUCGAGCGUUGUUCGGAUUCAUUGGGCGUAAAGGGUGCGUAGGCGGCGCGGUAAGUCGGGUGUGAAAUCUCGGAGCUUAACUCCGAAACUGCAUUCGAUACUGCCGUGCUUGAGGACUGGAGAGGAGACUGGAAUUCAUGGUGUAGCAGUGAAAUGCGUAGAGAUCAUGAGGAAGACCAGUGGCGAAGGCGGGUCUCUGGACAGGUCCUGACACUGAGACACGAAGGCCAGGGGAGCAAACGGG